UUCAAUACCCCUUCUUCAUUUAAACUAGCCCACCUCCUUACCCAGCCCAAAUCGGGUCGACCUGACCUGACCCACCACCCAAACCCUUAUUCUUCUUAAUUAACCUAAUAGACUAAGACCUAGGACAAAAAAGAGAUAUAGAAUCAGCCGCAAAGGACCAUUUUCAAGGACACCCUUAUAUCAUUCUUCUUCCAAAGAAGAACUUCAUUCCAGCCUUCGACCUUCUUCAGCAUCACAACAGCCACUGCCAGAUCCAUCUCCCUCACUCUAAAACCCCCAAAAACGAACUCACCCUUCACCACCAAGCGGCGAACCAGAAGACCCCAUAUCUUUUUGAAGCCAAACGAACUCCCUCUCCCAAAGAGCUACAGAUGCAACGCCCAUACAUAUGCAGAGGCGCAUACACCAUGGCUAUGUAACCCAACUGGUUUCUCAUUUCAGCCAUGAAAAAUCCGCAAGAAAGAAGUUCAAAAUGAUUCGAAAAAUACAAAAAUAGAAAUAAAACAGAGUGUGGAGAUGGAUUUCAGGGAGACUUUGAAUAGAAAAGAAAAGAGUUACUUUGAUUACUGAUUCGUUUUUGCUACUUAAGAUACCAAAAAUCAAACAAAAAUAGGUCUUAGUGGUCUUCUUUCUGAUUUCAACUUCUGUCAUCGAUGAAGGAAGGUCGAAGUUCGAUUCUGUCGAUGAUAACGUUUCUAUUCUUCAUUUGAUUCUGAUUUUUGGUUUUCGAAUGUGGGAAUGGAGUUAAGCCAAGGUUGAUUCGAGUUUGUCGCCGAUUUGAGGUUCAAUUAAUGUCAUGCGUGUUCCUAUUCGCAACUCUUGAAUCAUUUUGCUGCUGUACUUUGCAUUCAGAUCCAAUAGAUUUGAGGCAUUGUAUUUGCACCUUCCCGAUUAAUCGGAAAGUUUCGCACGUUAAGGUCUAAUUCUUCAUUCCUUUACAUAUUCUAGUGUUAAUUGUGUUUGGUGAUUUGAUUCUGUGACUUGUUAUCUAUGAUUUUGAAUAUGUCCGCUCGUAUGUCUACUUGAACUAACUGAGAGUGAAUUGAAAUUGCACGUUCAGUUAGUUGAAUCGUACGCUUAAUUUGGCUUCGAAUAUUGGACUGCCAUUGGUUGGAUUCAUAUGUCUAUGAUUUGUAUGUUUACUUAGUGAGCACAAAAAUAACAGUAGUAUACAUUUGUUAAGAACAACAUUGUAUUUUACCAAUCUCAUUAGUUGGUACAGUGAAACCCUUGUUUCUCUUUAAAUGUGAUUGCAAAAACAUAAUCGGAAUGCUUUGCUAUUAGGGUUAGAUUUAUUUGGUGUUUUCUAUGGUUGAUUGUUUCUUUUAAUAAAAUGAAUUGUGAAGACCCGAUUAUCAGGGAUGGAUGCUUGUUUGGUUUAAAAUCUUAGAAUAGAGAUAUAAUAUUAAGGAGUUGAUAUGGUGCAAAUGGGCUUUCACGUUGCUUUUGUCAUUGGUUUUCUAUUUUUGUCUCAUGUUAUUAUUUCAUUAGUUUUAUUGGUUAGCUCUUAAUAUUGUGUGUAUUUCCGUCCUGGGUGCUGCAUAUUUGUUCAUUUGUAUGAGUUUGCUUAUGAACCAGGUUUGUGGGGAAAGGUUAGCCCAUUAUAGAAUAACUCACUUACAUGCUUUAGAUAUCAGGCUCGGCCUAAUAAUAAUAAAAAUAAACAUGUUGCAAAUCCGGGUGUGCAUUUCAUGUGACCCGGCUACAAUUUCUAACAAAGUUAAAUAGAACGUGUUGUGAAUCGCAGGUGCAUUUCAUGUAGCGUGGCUUACGAUAUGUUUUAAAUAACCUUGAAUUUUCCUAAAUAAUUAAAAGCGGUUAAAAAAUUUAAAAAUGCACAUAGGUUUAAAAUAAGAUAAUUAGGCCAAUAGUAAUAGUUGAGCGACCGUGUUAAAAUCACGGAACCCGGAAAUGUCUAACACCUUCUACCGGGUUAACAGAAUUCCUUACCCGAAUUUCUGUGUUCGCGGACUAUAAAACAGAGUCAAUCUUUCCUUGAUUCGGGAAUUAAACCAGUGACUUGGGAUACCAUAAAUCAUCCCAAGUGGCGACUCUGAAUUUUAAACAAAAUAAUCCUGUUUCGGUUGUCACUUAAAUUGGAAAAAACUCCCUUAUACCCCUCCGCGGGGGUAGUAAAAAGGAGGCGUGACAGCUCUGGCGACUCUGCUAGGAAUAAAAACCCAGAAUCUCUGUUCACGGUUCAAGAAUUCGAGCUUAGAAUAAUUGUUAUACUUGGCUUUAUUUAUUAUCUGGUUUUAUUUACGUGUUUGGACCUAAUGUGCUAAAUUUUGCUUUUUACCGCUUUGAUAUUGUUGUACUGUAUAUAAAUUGUUAUGAAACCCUCCUCUCUCUGAGUCUUCUAAAAUCAUCUGGGAAGUGUGCACUUCGUGUGACUUAUCUUCUGUUAGAGUCAUAUUCCAAUUUUAGAACGAGGUUUGGACAAGUUGUAAAGUCGGUGAAGCUUCUGUAUUCCCGGUACGCUGCCCCUCUCGGCUCGAGCUGUCCACUCGGGUAAGCCAGGUCUAGUAGGAAUGUUUGUUUGCAUCAUGUGCAUUUGACUUUGGGGACUCAACACAGGGAUUGGGUCCGUCUAGGACAGGUUUACCCAAAAAAAUUAAAAGACCGUCCUGAUGCAUUCUAUGUGCUACAUGUUGCAAUCUUCAAGGGUAAAAGGGGUCAUUUAGUGGACCAAUGAGGUUUAAGAACGAAAAGAGGUUGAAGUAUAAAAAUAAAGCAAGUGGGGCCCAGUUAUAAUUUUUUUUUUCACACUCUUUAAAAAAAUGAAAAUAAAAAAAUCCAAAAAAAGAGUUUGCACUUUCCCCGUCAUUUUUUUUUAAAAAAAUUAAAAAACAGAGAAAAAGAAAAUCCAAAAAGAAUUUACAUGUUUCAUCAUUUUACAAAAAAAAAAAGACAAAAUAUAUUUUCUCUAAAUUAGUUGUUAGUAAAACCAGUCGAUCAGCGGUGUAGUCGACGGUUCCGUGCCUUCCCCCUCAAGUUGUCCUCUUGAGGGUACAGUCUAAAACCCCUGAGUAGCCUUACUCUGGUCAAAAUUGCGCAUGCAACUAAAUAGCCGAUAUGCUGAUCGUAAAUGCAUAAAUAGUCGAGUUUGGUGGGGGUAAGGCCGUAACCCUUUAUUUUGCAGAAAAUGAGGAACGAGGUCCCCAGCUUCGGUAUGGUUAGCACACCUUCACUCUAGCUAGACUACUGGAGGAAUCUCCCAUCAAGUGACCAAAUCAAUAAAUGGAAAGAGAGGGCCGUCAAAUCUAGUGAGAAGCUGGAAUAUCUGGAAUGCAGCCUAUUAGAAUUGGAAGGAAAAGUGAGGAAGAGAGUCACCGACUGCCAGAACGCUGAAGGAAAUGAAGGAGAACAUUUGGCAAAGGUGUUUUUACUAGUGAACCUACGCGAACUGGAGGAUUUGAUCAACGAGAGCAUUCAACCUGAGGAGGGUCCUUCCGAGACCAAAUAGAUUAGGUAUACUCGCUUUCCAAAUGUAAUAAGGCCAAGUGCCAGUAGUGACUCAUUUUAUUAUCUUAGUAUCGUUUUGGGAUUCGUCUAUUUUUAUAUUAUGAAAUGAAGCAUUUAUUAGAAUUUGAAGUUCUCCAAAUUUAUUUGUCGCUAGGCCUACUUUAGGCACAACGAGGCUCCCAAAUUAAGACGCGAGAUUACAUUUUGCAAUAUAUAUUUAAAUACUGCAAGCAUUUUAGAAUCCUCACUGACUUGUUACCAUUUUGUUUUUGCUUAUUUCAUUAUGAUUAUUCCCAUACACUUAGGUUGGUUCACUCAUACUGGCCUCAUCAGCAUACCAUACUAGAUCCAGAGGCCCUCCUCCUCCAAGAAACGUAAAAAGUAGAGGGAAUGCAAAGAUGGACAACUUAAGUGGGAUCCGAAAGGAAAAUGUUGAGAACGCAGAGACUUCAGAUGGCCGUAGUACUCCGGCCCCGAAUGACUUUGUUUUGAGACUGGAACAAAAGAUACUAGAACUGCAAGGAGAACUUGAGCAAGUCCGUAACUUGACAAACCUGUCACUUACCCUUAAUGUCCAUGACAUCCACCAACAAAACACAAAGAACUCGACACCUCCUCAGAACGGACAAAACCAACAACCACAAAAUCCUCCCACACCAAAUCAAUACGCUACUCCACCCCAAAACAUCAAUCCACUACCAGUACCAACUCCACCACAACAUCAUCAUCAACCAAUUUUGUACCCACCGACCACCACUUACAACACUCCCCAAAAUACACCACCACUCAUUCCCGAUCCACAAAACUCCACCAAUGACCAUCACUACACCCAAGUUCAUGGGACCCAUCAAAGCAACCCUAUAUAUGUGGAAAUUGUACCUCACUCUACCUAACCAAUCUCAUAUACACCAAAAUCUUCCGAGAAGGACCUGCUCAUUAAAAACAUGGAUAAAGAACUCAAACUGUUAACAAGCCUAAUUUAAGGGGUUGAGGGAAAUAGAGGAAUAAAGGGUUUGAACUGUGAAGAUCUGUGCAUACACCCGGAUGUCGAACUACCAGAAGGAUAUAAACCUUCCAAGUUCGAAAUGUUCGAUGGUACAGGUGAUCCCAGGGUUCAUCUAAGGACCUAUUGUGACAAGUUUGUCGGGGUCGGAAAAUAUAAAAAGAUUCGGAUGAAGCUCUUUAUGAGGAGCCUUACUGGGGACGCUUUGUCUUAGUAUAUCAGCCAGAAUCUCAAGAAAUGGUCUAAUUGGGUAAGCAUGAUGUCAUAGUUCAUGGACUGAUUAAGGUUUAACAUGGAGAAUGCACCGGAUGUCUUUUACAUUCAGAAUCUCAAGAAGAAACCUACUGAAACUUUUCGCGAGUAUGCUACUCAUUGGAUGUUGGAAGCAGCCAAGGUCAGGCCCUCUUUAGAUGAAGAACAGAUGAAUAAAUUCUUCGUCAGGGCACAAGAUCCACAAUAUUAUGAGAGGUUGUCAUCGAAAAUCAAAAAUUCUCUGAUAUCAUCAAACUAGGAGAAAUGAUCGAGGAAGGAAUCAAGAGUGGGAUGGUAACAAAUUUUGAGGCACUACAAGCCACAAAUAAGGCACUACAAUCAGGUGGCAUAUCAAAGAAGAGAGAUGCUGGGGCAGUAAUGGUGGCCCAAGGCCCAAAAUCUCCACUAACUUAUCAAACACCUCCACCCACAUAUCAAACACCUUCACCUACAUAUCAAGAACCUCCGCCUACAUACCAAGCAUCACUGCCUACAUAUCAGCCUUUAUCUCCUAGAUAUUCCCAACCAGCCUCUGUCCAUCAUACCUACAACUCCCAACCAUCCCACUUCCAAUCACCACCAGCUCGCCAAAAUUAUCCAAGACCAAGCCCCAACUUCAACCGCAAGCUACCUAGACAAUACACCGCCAUUGCGGAGCCCAUCGACCAACUGUAUGAAAGGUUGAAAGCUGCAGGUUACGUCAAUCCUGUUCCCACUGUGGCACUAGAAAAUCCAUUCCAAUGGGUCAAUCUGAACAAAAUUUGCGCAUACCAUUCCGGUAUGAAAAGGCACACCACUGUUGAGUGCCGAACAUUGAAGGAUAAGAUCUAGACACUCAUUGACAACAAGGUCAUACAAGGAAAGGAAGUCGCACCUAAUGUCCGCAACAAUCUCCUCCCUGAUCACUGAUGUGAUGGUAUACAUGUGAUAGAGACAAAUGAAGAAUGGGAACCUGAGGGUUCGAUCGGGCUUAAUCGAGAAGACGAUGACUUCAAGGUUGAAGUCACACUUAGUCCUAUCGUGUUCCAAACUCAAGCACCAAUUGAUGUUGAGGUAACCGCAUCAGUCCUGUUCGAAGUAGAAGUGGCUCCACCCGCAGCCACCUUCGCUCCAUUUGAAGUAAAGGUGGUCACACCUUUUACUAUGACGGUAUAAACCACACCUUCAUUCAACUCAAAGGCAAUACCUUGGGAUUAUAUUGCCAAGGCUUGGCGAAAAGGGAAGACCAGGGUAGAGGAAUCUGAUGUUGCACAAGAAAUGACCAGAACCGGAAGAGUCUAUGCACCUGAACACCUGGGAGGUUUGAGUAAGGAGGCCUCUACUAAGCAGCCUAUCAUUGAGACCGGGCCGGAUGACUUGUGGAGGGAAGUGAAAGCAAAGGAGUACUCUGUUGUUGACCAUCUGAACAAAGUCCCUGCUCAGAUAUUUAUCCUGUCACUAUUGCAGAAUUUAGAGGCAUACGAGAACACUUUAAUGAAAGUGUUGAGCGAGGCUUAUGUACCCAAUAACAUCACCGGUGGAGAAAUGGCCAACAUGGCCAGUCAAGUGUUGGAGAGCCAUAAUAUUAUCUUCCAUGAAGAUGAGCUACUGCCUGAAGGUUUUAAUCACAAUCGAGUGCUGCAUAUCACGGUACAAUAUGAAGACAAGUUCAUUUCCAGGGUCCUGGUUGGUGGAGGGUCAAGCUUAAAUAUUUGUCCAUUGGACACCUUUAAAAGGUUGGACAAAGGUUUCCAUGAAAUACGGAUGGGAAACAUGAAUGUGAAGGCUUUUGAUGGGUCCUAGAGUGCCACGAUUGGGGAAAUAAACCUUUGCUUGCAGAUGGGGCCAACUUGGUUCGACGUUGAAUUCCAAGUGCUUGACAUACCAGACUCAUAUAAUCUUUUGUUAGGCCGCCCAUGGAUCCAUGCUGCUGGAGCAGUGCCUUCCACGCUACAUCAAGCCGUGAAGUUUGAAUGGAACUGCCAGGAGGUAAUCAUUUACGAAUUUGGAAGUAACCCAUCUACACUAGCCAAACCAUCCUAGCCAUUGGACAUAGAAGAAGGCUAAGAGGGGAAACCUAUCAUCACAUCGAACGGGUCAAUGCCGUCGAGAAAGAUAAGUGGUGGAGUGACAAGAUAGAAAGCAUACUAGAAUAGUCCAGAUAUGAACCCGGCUAAAGGUUGGAAAAGAACCUCUAAGGUAUCUCCAAGCCAAUAUAGCUGAAAAAUCAUCGUACCACCUUUGGGCUCGGAUACCAAUAUACAUGGCAAGAGUACAAGGAUUGGUCGCCUCCAUGGCAUGGACCAUAUUACCCUCUUGAGCAAUCAGUGCCACGUUUGGAACAGGCUUUUCAUCAGGCUGACAUAAUAUGGGGAACUGAAUAAGAAGAAGCACUAGCUAGGCUGAAAGAUCUGUUCUUGGAAGAUGAGGACAUGGAUUGCUGUGCCAUAAUUGAGGAGGAGGAAGAAGGCCUUACCAUUCAGACCAUGGCAAAUGGAGCUGUUCUCAAAAACUGGACCGCCACACCAUCCCGAGCCCACCGAGCCCCUAGGUAGCUAGGCAGAAUUUAUAGCUGUUCUAAGCAUUUAAAAUUUCUGGCAAUUUUGUUUUAAGAUUUCUUUGUUUCAAAAUAAAUGCUCGAUUCAUCGAGCCGUGCUUUGUCUGAACAAUUUCUCAAAGUUUUAAUCAAAUGCAUUUGCUCUUUAUUAUUCACUACUAUCUUUACACUUUUUAUUUCCACAACUCAAUUAUUACUAUUCCUGAUGAACCAGUGACUGUGACAUGUAAUAAGGCAACACAACAUGAGAAUAGUGAUUCAAAGGACGAAGAUGAGAUACC
Molecule: long non-coding RNA, 7537 nt
Filed under: Nicotiana tabacum (common tobacco)
Lineage: Eukaryota; Viridiplantae; Streptophyta; Magnoliopsida; Solanales; Solanaceae
Description: long non-coding RNA (NTAB_LNC001924)
Source: RNAcentral